GCUGGGCGUGGUGUCUCACGCCUGUAAUCCCAGCACUUUGGGAGGCCGAGGCGGGUGGAUCACUUGAGGUCAGGAGUUCGAGACCAGCCUGACCAACAUGGUGAAACUCCGUCUCUA
Non-coding RNA from Pan troglodytes (chimpanzee), 117 nucleotides. It matches the Rfam family "Metazoan signal recognition particle RNA". From Rfam's summary of the family: The signal recognition particle (SRP) is a universally conserved ribonucleoprotein. It is involved in the co-translational targeting of proteins to membranes. The eukaryotic SRP consists of a 300-nucleotide 7S RNA and six proteins: SRPs 72, 68, 54, 19, 14, and 9. The record is from Rfam. NCBI's taxonomy places the organism in Eukaryota, Metazoa, Chordata, Mammalia, Primates, Hominidae.